Molecule: unclassified non-coding RNA, 339 nt
Filed under: soil metagenome
Description: partial contains 5.8S ribosomal RNA, internal transcribed spacer 2, and large subunit ribosomal RNA
Rfam family: 5.8S ribosomal RNA (bases 1-120)
Source: RNAcentral
GAUGAAGAACGGAGCGAAAUGCGAUAAGUAAUGUGAAUUGCAGAAUUCAGUGAAUCAUCGAAUCUUUGAACGCACAUUGCGCCCGCUGGUAUUCCGGCGGGCAUGCCUGUUCGAGCGUCAUUGCAACCCUCAAGCGCGGCUUGUGUGUUGGGCUUCGUCCCCCCGUGGACGUGCCCGAAAGGCAGUGGCGGCGUCCCGAAUGGUGCCCGAGCGUAUGGGAACUCUCUUCCGCUCGAACCGGCCCAUUCGGCGCUGGUCGAACCCCAAUUUUUUUUUACCGGUUGACCUCGGAUCAGGUAGGGAUACCCGCUGAACUUAAGCAUAUCAAUAAGCGGAGGA